Pomacea canaliculata is the source of this 87-nucleotide small nucleolar RNA. RefSeq annotates it as small nucleolar RNA SNORD70. NCBI's taxonomy places the organism in Eukaryota, Metazoa, Mollusca, Gastropoda, Architaenioglossa, Ampullariidae. The transcript has a single exon. The record is from RefSeq and is a predicted model, not a curated record.
GAUAAAUGUGCCUGUGAUGUUAUCGUUGUGUUACUGAUAUAUUUGAUGUCAUUAACAAUUCGUCACUACCUCUGAGGCACAUUUCAU